CACGAACCGUGCGAACGUUAUUCGGAAUUACUGGGCUUAAAGAGUUCGUAGGCGGCGUGUUAAGUUGGGUGUGAAAUCCCUUGGCUCAACCAAGGAAUUGCGCUCAAAACUAGCAUGCUUGAGGAAGACAGGGGUAAGCGGAACUGAUGGUGGAGCGGUGAAAUGCGUAGAUAUCAUCAGGAACACCGGAGGCGAAGGCGGUCCACUGGGUCCUUUCUGACGCUGAGGGACGAAAGCUAGGGGAGCGAACGGG
Molecule: ribosomal RNA, 253 nt
Filed under: uncultured bacterium
Lineage: Bacteria
Description: partial 16S ribosomal RNA
Rfam family: Bacterial small subunit ribosomal RNA
Source: RNAcentral